RNAcentral lists this ribosomal RNA (442 nucleotides) under Salmonella enterica. Its description in RNAcentral is "partial 23S ribosomal RNA". It matches the Rfam family "Bacterial large subunit ribosomal RNA", at positions 1291 to 1735 of the family's 2925-position model. Lineage: Bacteria; Pseudomonadati; Pseudomonadota; Gammaproteobacteria; Enterobacterales; Enterobacteriaceae. The record is from RNAcentral.
CGAAUGCUGACAUAAGUAACGAUAAUGCGGGUGAAAAACCCGCACGCCGGAAGACCAAGGGUUCCUGUCCAACGUUAAUCGGGGCAGGGUGAGUCGACCCCUAAGGCGAGGCCGAAAGGCGUAGUCGAUGGGAAACGGGUUAAUAUUCCCGUACCUGGUGUUACUGCGAAGGGGGGACGGAGAAGGCUAUGUUGGCCGGGCGACGGUUGUCCCGGUUUAAGCGUGCAGGCUGGUUUUCCAGGCAAAUCCGGAAAAUCAAGGCUGAGGCGUGACGACGAGGCACUACGGUGCUGAAGCAACAAAUGCCCUGCUUCCAGGAAAAGCCUCUAAGCCUCAGGUAACAUCAGAUCGUACCCGAAACCGACACAGGUGGUCAGGUAGAGAAUACCAAGGCGCUUGAGAGAACCCGGGUGAAGGAACUAGGCAAAAUGGUGCCGUAACU